UACGAAGGGGGCUAGCGUUGUUCGGAAUCACUGGGCGUAAAGCGCACGUAGGCGGACUUUUAAGUCAGGGGUGAAAUCCCGGGGCUCAACCUCGGAACUGCCUUUGAUACUGGAAGUCUGGAGUCCGAGAGAGGUGAGUGGAACUCCGAGUGUAGAGGUGAAAUUCGUAGAUAUUCGGAAGAACACCAGUGGCGAAGGCGGCUCACUGGCUCGGUACUGACGCUGAGGUGAGAAAGCGUGGGGAGCAAACAGG
Molecule: ribosomal RNA, 253 nt
Filed under: uncultured bacterium
Lineage: Bacteria
Description: partial 16S ribosomal RNA
Rfam family: Bacterial small subunit ribosomal RNA
Source: RNAcentral